This is a long non-coding RNA of Bradysia coprophila, 405 nucleotides long. The record is from RefSeq and is a predicted model, not a curated record. Lineage: Eukaryota; Metazoa; Arthropoda; Insecta; Diptera; Sciaridae.
UGGAAGUUUUGCAUAUCGCACAUUCGCAAUGACUGUAUUCCUUUCCGUGGCAGUGUGUGGUUGGGCUUUCAGUGCAACAUUAUUCAUUGGAAUCAAGAAGAGGAAUCCGAAUUGCUUGUUGUCGUACAUGGUGUGGGUGUGCUUUUCACAUUUCUUCCUUAACACCAUAUUACUUAUUACUACAAUUGUGGCUGAUAAUGUCUUCAUCCGCCUGUUCACGAUGUCGACGAUAUACACUUGUUAAUUACGAUAACAGCGAUGCUCGUAAACUUUAUGUCUACACCUCUGUGGCCUACUAUCUCUUUGGAAUAAUUUCGUUUAUCAUCAUUUACAAGCAAUUUCGAAUUUUGAAAGAGCGGAAAAACUUGCUAAAAAAUGACAUUGAUGUACGUUAUACGUUGCAGA